RNAcentral lists this transfer RNA (63 nucleotides) under Rattus norvegicus (Norway rat). It matches the Rfam family "tRNA", at positions 1 to 62 of the family's 71-position model. Rfam says of the family: Transfer RNA (tRNA) molecules are approximately 80 nucleotides in length. Their secondary structure includes four short double-helical elements and three loops (D, anti-codon, and T loops). Lineage: Eukaryota; Metazoa; Chordata; Mammalia; Rodentia; Muridae. The record is from Rfam by way of RNAcentral.
GGGGAUUUAGCUCAGUGGUAGAGCGCUUGCCUGGCAAGCACAAGGCCCUGGGUUCAGUCCCCA